This 513-nucleotide long non-coding RNA is filed under the name Mus musculus (house mouse). RNAcentral describes it as "RIKEN cDNA B230206L02 gene, transcript variant 3 (B230206L02Rik)". The record is from RNAcentral. Lineage: Eukaryota; Metazoa; Chordata; Mammalia; Rodentia; Muridae.
GUAAAAAGGCCAACUCGCUGGAGGACGGAAGGGUGGCCUGAAGACUGAGGAGGGGCAGGUCAGGUGCCCAGUCCAGAGAGGAGGAGUUGAAGAUGACAAGCCGCACCCCACCUCCCCCCAACUCACUUGGGACUGGAUCCACCCUGAGGAGCCUCGGGUCAACAUCCUGUUUCCGGCAAGCCCUCCUGGAGGCCACACAGAGGGGUGUUUGUUCGUAGUGGGCGACGGGAGAGAUGCUAAUCACGUUGGAUAGCUGGUCCCAGCUGAAGGUCAGGAGGAUCCAUCAUUUACCUACCAAGAUAACUACCUUACUUACCAUAAACGUGAACGAUGCAGGCGGCUAGAGGGCUCGCUCGGUAGCUAAAAGUGAUUGCUACACAGGGGCAGCAAUCUGAAUUCAGUCCCCAGGAGCCAUGGAAAGCAGGAAGGAGAUGACCAGCUGCGUGGUUAGCUUCUGACUUCCCCACACGUGCUGUGACCCACACCCACACCAAUAAAUAUAUUUCUACUUUA